UUCACUUUCGCUCUCUCUCUCAAGUUGCUUCUGCGUUCUUCAGGUAUUGACUCUUCUACUUCAUCGAUCUCUCUGUUAUAGUGCUAAUUCUCAUUCAUCUCUUUGUUUUUGUAUAACUUGCUGUGUCUUCUACAACUUAAUCACUGAUCUCUCUGUAAUUCUGCUACUCAUUAUUGAAUUCUCUUCUAUUUUGUUUUUUGAUUUUAAUCACUAUGUGUGUGAGUGUGUGAGUGUGUGAGCGAGCGAGUGAGAUAGAAAUAUUCUCAUUUUUGGAGAUGAAUUUCGUGUCUCUGUGUGUGAGUGAGUAAGAGACGAUAAUUUGAUGAUUUCUCUGCUAGUUAUUUAUUAUUGAUUUCUCUUUUAUUUUGUUUUUUGCUUUUAAUCACGGUGUGAAUGUAUGUGUGAGCGAGCGAGUGAGCGAGAGAGAAAUAUUCUCGUUUUUUGAGUUGAAUUUCGUGUGUGUGAGAGAGUGAGUGAGAUUUUUGUGUACUCAUCAUUGAUUUCUCUGCUAGCUACUUCAUCAUUGAUUCUCUACUUUUUUGGGCUUUUAAUCACUGUGUGUGUGAGAAAAUGUGCGUACGUGUGUGAGCAAAAGAGAAUUUAAUAAUAAAUAUAGCUUAAUAGGAUGUGACUGGUUAUCAUAGCUUAAAAUACAUUUUUAAAUAUAUGUUUUGAUUUUAUAUUGAACAGGUUCAAGAUGAGUCGUUCCAUGUACGUGGCUGAAUUUGACGAGUAAGAUGUCUACCUACAAUUUGAUAUGCUUCUUUGUUUCAUUGGAGAAGGUUUCACUGAAGCUAUGAUUUGAUUUAUGGUGCCUAAUUUUAGCCUAACGAUUAUUUCUUGCUUUUUGUAAUGUAUAGGUUGAAUUCUUAUUUGAGAGAGUUGCCUGGGGGUUAUCAUGAGGUCAUUAAAGGAGAGUUACUUACUUUUGCUUGGAUGGUUGUCUCGUAUCGUUUCAUAAUGUACCGUAUUGCAUUGUAUUAUAUUGUAGUGUAUCGU
This 999-nucleotide long non-coding RNA is filed under the name Nicotiana tabacum (common tobacco). Its description in RNAcentral is "long non-coding RNA (NTAB_LNC013436)". The record is from RNAcentral. Lineage: Eukaryota; Viridiplantae; Streptophyta; Magnoliopsida; Solanales; Solanaceae.